UCCCUAUUACUAAGGCAGUCUGAAUAGAAAAAUACAACUAUUCACAAGGGUUGCGCUCGUUGAAGGACUUAACCUAACAUCUCACGACACGAGCUGACGACGGCCAUGCAACACCUGUCACCGAUCCAACUAAAUGAAAAACUUCUUUCGAAGUUCGGCUAUCGGGAUGUCAAACCCUGGUAAGGUUCAUCGGUUAGCAUCGAAUUAAAGAGCAUAAUCCACCGCUUGUGCUGAUCCCCGUCAAUUCCUUUAUGUUUUAGUCUUGCGACCGUACUCCACAGGCGGGAUACUUAACGCGUUAGCUUCGCUACUGAAGGGGUCGAUACCUCCAACAGCUAGUAUCCAUCGUUUACGGCGUGGACUAC
This 365-nucleotide unclassified non-coding RNA is filed under the name uncultured bacterium. RNAcentral's name for it is "contains 16S-23S intergenic spacer region". The record is from RNAcentral.